AACUUUUGGCAAUGGAUCACUUGGCUCUCGCAUCGAUGAAGAACACAGCGAAAUGAGAUAAGUAAUGUGAAUUGCAGAAUUCAGUGAAUCAUCGAAUCUUUGAACGCACCUUGCACCCUUUGGUAUUCCAAAGGGUAUGCUCGUUUGAGUGUCAUUGUACUCUCAUACUCUCUCAUCUUAGCAUUGGGAGUGGUGGCCUUCGCUGUUGCUGCUUCACUGUGUCUCACCUGAAAUGUAUUAGUGCAACCGUUGACUAACCAUAGUACGGCAUGAUACGCAUCUUACAGAGCCGUUCUCCGUAGGGUGGUCAGUCAAGAGCCCUGUGCUUCUAACUUUCUUUGGAGAAUGUUGACCACUUGACCUCAAAUCGAGUAGGACUCCCCGCUGAACUUAAGCAUAUCAAUAAGCGGAGGCU
This 415-nucleotide unclassified non-coding RNA is filed under the name uncultured Sebacinaceae. RNAcentral's name for it is "sequence contains ITS2". The stretch from base 1 to 154 matches the Rfam family "5.8S ribosomal RNA". Lineage: Eukaryota; Fungi; Basidiomycota; Agaricomycetes; Sebacinales; Sebacinaceae. The record is from RNAcentral.